RNAcentral lists this ribosomal RNA (629 nucleotides) under Aspergillus niger. RNAcentral describes it as "eukaryotic LSU rRNA". It matches the Rfam family "Eukaryotic large subunit ribosomal RNA", at positions 38 to 664 of the family's 3401-position model. The record is from RNAcentral. Lineage: Eukaryota; Fungi; Ascomycota; Eurotiomycetes; Eurotiales; Aspergillaceae.
GCAUAUCAAUAAGCGGAGGAAAAGAAACCAACCGGGAUUGCCUCAGUAACGGCGAGUGAAGCGGCAAGAGCUCAAAUUUGAAAGCUGGCUCCUUCGGAGUCCGCAUUGUAAUUUGCAGAGGAUGCUUUGGGUGCGGCCCCCGUCUAAGUGCCCUGGAACGGGCCGUCAGAGAGGGUGAGAAUCCCGUCUUGGGCGGGGUGUCCGUGCCCGUGUAAAGCUCCUUCGACGAGUCGAGUUGUUUGGGAAUGCAGCUCUAAAUGGGUGGUAAAUUUCAUCUAAAGCUAAAUACUGGCCGGAGACCGAUAGCGCACAAGUAGAGUGAUCGAAAGAUGAAAAGCACUUUGAAAAGAGAGUUAAACAGCACGUGAAAUUGUUGAAAGGGAAGCGCUUGCGACCAGACUCGCCCGCGGGGUUCAGCCGGCAUUCGUGCCGGUGUACUUCCCCGUGGGCGGGCCAGCGUCGGUUUGGGCGGCCGGUCAAAGGCCCCUGGAAUGUAGUGCCCUCCGGGGCACCUUAUAGCCAGGGGUGCAAUGCGGCCAGCCUGGACCGAGGAACGCGCUUCGGCACGGACGCUGGCAUAAUGGUCGUAAACGACCCGUCUUGAAACACGGACCUUAUUGAUAUGCAAA